GGUUAUAGUAGGUAGGAGGAAUGGGUCAUGCUGGAUGGUAAUCCCCAAACAUCCAUUACAGUGCUCAUUUUACACAUGAAGCAACAGAAAACUAGAGAGGUUUCUUGACUCGGAAUCACACAAUGAGCUAAGUGGGAGAGAGAGAAAGUACACCCCAAACUCACUGUCUUAAAGAGCCUUGUGAAACUAACUCCCAACCAACACUGAACAAAUGCUAUUGUGUCUUUUCAUACUUCCAAAGUUUCUGGGGGGGAAAUAAAGGACAGAAACACUCUAUAGGUAUGUGAGGGAAAGUAAAUUACCUGCAAGGCCCUCCAUUCCUUAGGAGCAGGAUCCAGGAUUUUCAAGAACAAACAGCAAAGAAAAGAAAAGUCCCAAGAACCCAGUGCAUAGACUAAAUGGGUCAUCGCAGCCAGACAGAGCAACCCAGGGUGCCGGGAAUGGGAAACAAAAGAGAAAGUACUACUUGGGCCUGGGGCAGCCUCCAGACUUGAGGGAGAAGGCUGGGGGGUAGGGGGGGGGGGCAGGACUGCCUUUUCUCUGUUCUGAAUCCUUUGCUAGGCCAUUUGCAUCUCAUUGNUUCUCUGUUCAAUCCUUUGCUAGGCCAUUUGCAUCUCAUUGUGGUCCUGGAUGAUUUAAGGAGCCCAGUGAAAGCCCUUGGAUGUGGUUAGGACGUUCAUGCUCCAGUGAUAAAUAAUGUGACCAAUGUGUAUGGCCUAGAGUCACUGCAUUAUCAAAGGGCUCCAUGGAAACGCGGGAAAUGCCAGGGCUUCUUUUCCUGCUUCUGCUUGUUUUCUUUCUUUAUUUAUUUAAUCUACUUGAUGAAUUGAUUUCUUGUCCCUUUCCAAGUGUUUAAUACCAUCCUAGGAACUGACACCCUUCCCGUUGUUGGCAUGUGAUCUCUUCAAUCCUGCAGUUCCACCAGAGCUUUGAUCAGCAGUCAGAGUUGAAAGAAGAGGAUGAAGGAGACCAGGCCCCUUGCCCAUCCCUCUCCCUCUGCCACCCUCUCCAGACACUUUUUUUUCUUUAUCAAAAGAAAUCUCCUGGUUGACUUCAAAGGCAGCUCUGCAUCCAGAGAGAUAAUACUGAUAGAAGGAGAGAGACGAUGGAGCGGUUAUUUCCAUGGAGUAAGAUUGGAUGCCAUCUUUAGGUUUCUUCUCUGCAUUUUGCUGUGUUGAGUGAUUUAUUUUCAUCAUUAUCAUGUAACAUUCUACAAAAUCUGUUAUUCAAGUGCUGGAUUGGAACAAAGAAAGAAUGGCUGGUGCCUUCUCCUACUUCUCAGACUCCUUUCUGACCAGCUAGCAGGGGCAUGAGGGAAUGAGCAUGGUUGUCAGGGUGCGAAAUGUCCUAUCUGUGCAUUAUCUCUGGAAUUAUUUUCUAUCUGCACCAAAAUAUGAAUUUCCUAACAACUCAAGUUAUCAACUCCCCCUUGGAAGCAUCUAUCAGUUCUGGAAAAAUGAAUGUCUAAAGUAAAUUGCAGGAAUCUAGAAUGAACAUAAAUAUUCAAAGAUGGGGGCAGUGGAAUGAUUUCCAUUUCCUCACCUGGAAUCCCUACCUUCUGAGUCAGCCAUCCAGGGAACAAGGCAAAAAUAGUGACAAAUACUUUGCAACCCCCUAAGGACCAAAUCCUUU
Vulpes vulpes (red fox) is the source of this 1632-nucleotide long non-coding RNA. The record is from Ensembl. Lineage: Eukaryota; Metazoa; Chordata; Mammalia; Carnivora; Canidae.